RNAcentral lists this ribosomal RNA (483 nucleotides) under uncultured eukaryote. Its description in RNAcentral is "SSU rRNA". It matches the Rfam family "Eukaryotic small subunit ribosomal RNA", at positions 70 to 557 of the family's 1831-position model. The record is from RNAcentral.
UGGAUUAUACAGUGAAACUGCGAAUGGCUCAUUAAAUCAGUUAUAGUUUAUUUGAUAAUACCUUUUACUUGGAUAACCGUAAUAAUUUUAGAGCUAAUACAUGCGUGAAAGUGCGACUUUUGUGGAAGCACUGUAUUUAUUAGAUACAAAACCAAUCGAGCUUGCUCGUUACCUUGGUGAUUCAUAAUAACUAAACGAAUCGUAUGACUUUAUGUCGACGAUGAUUCAUUCAAAUUUCUGCCCUAUCAACUUUCGAUGGUAAGGUAUUGGCUUACCAUGGUUACAACGGGUGACGGAGAAUUAGGGUUCGAUUCCGGAGAGGGAGCCUGAGAAACGGCUACCACUUCUACGGAGGGCAGCAGGCGCGCAAAUUACCCAAUCCUGACUCAGGGAGGUAGUGACGAAUAAUAACGAUACGUGACUUCGGUCUAGUAAUUGGAAUGAGUACGAUUUAAACCCCUUAAUGAAUUCCGUUGGAGGGCG